This 74-nucleotide transfer RNA is filed under the name Candidatus Taylorbacteria bacterium RIFCSPHIGHO2_01_FULL_45_63. RNAcentral's name for it is "tRNA-His". It matches the Rfam family "tRNA". Rfam says of the family: Transfer RNA (tRNA) molecules are approximately 80 nucleotides in length. Their secondary structure includes four short double-helical elements and three loops (D, anti-codon, and T loops). RNAcentral also lists the same sequence under 3 other names. Lineage: Bacteria; Candidatus Tayloriibacteriota. The record is from RNAcentral.
GUGACUAUGGUGUAGCGGUAGCACAGAAGCCUGUGGAGCUUUUAGUUCGGGUUCAACUCCCGAUAGUCACCCCA